This 400-nucleotide ribosomal RNA is filed under the name Bacillus amyloliquefaciens. RNAcentral describes it as "bacterial SSU rRNA". It matches the Rfam family "Bacterial small subunit ribosomal RNA", at positions 28 to 418 of the family's 1533-position model. Lineage: Bacteria; Bacillati; Bacillota; Bacilli; Caryophanales; Bacillaceae. The record is from RNAcentral.
GACGAACGCUGGCGGCGUGCCUAAUACAUGCAAGUCGAGCGGACAGAUGGGAGCUUGCUCCCUGAUGUUAGCGGCGGACGGGUGAGUAACACGUGGGUAACCUGCCUGUAAGACUGGGAUAACUCCGGGAAACCGGGGCUAAUACCGGAUGGUUGUUUGAACCGCAUGGUUCAGACAUAAAAGGUGGCUUCGGCUACCACUUACAGAUGGACCCGCGGCGCAUUAGCUAGUUGGUGAGGUAACGGCUCACCAAGGCGACGAUGCGUAGCCGACCUGAGAGGGUGAUCGGCCACACUGGGACUGAGACACGGCCCAGACUCCUACGGGAGGCAGCAGUAGGGAAUCUUCCGCAAUGGACGAAAGUCUGACGGAGCAACGCCGCGUGAGUGAUGAAGGUUUU